CAACCUCAACUCAUAUGGGACUACCCCCUGAAUUUAAGCAUAUUAAUUAGGGGAGGAAAAGAAACUAACAAGGAUUUUCUUAGUAGCGGCGAGCGAAAAGAAAUCAGUUCAGCACUAAGUCACUUUGUCUAUAUGGCAAAUGUGAGAUGCAGUGUAAGGAACAUCAAUAUUCUAGUAUGAGAAAUUAACGAUUUAAGUCCUUCUUAAAUGAGGCCAUUUACCCAUAGAGGGUGCCAGGCCCGUAUAACGUUAAUGAUUACUAGAUGAUGUUUCCAAAGAGUCGUGUUGCUUGAUAGUGCAGCACUAAGUGGGUGGUAAACUCCAUCUAAAACUAAAUAUAACCAUGAGACCGAUAGUAAACAAGUACCGUGAGGGAAAGUUGAAAAGAACUCUGAAUAGAGAGUUAAAUAGUACGUGAAACUGCUUAGAGGUUAAGCCCGAUGA
Molecule: non-coding RNA, 444 nt
Filed under: Drosophila grimshawi
Lineage: Eukaryota; Metazoa; Arthropoda; Insecta; Diptera; Drosophilidae
Description: Eukaryotic large subunit ribosomal RNA
Rfam family: Eukaryotic large subunit ribosomal RNA
Source: Rfam by way of RNAcentral